AUGACCUACGAAUUGAUAGACA
Molecule: microRNA, 22 nt
Filed under: Canis lupus familiaris (dog)
Lineage: Eukaryota; Metazoa; Chordata; Mammalia; Carnivora; Canidae
Description: cfa-miR-215
Gene: cfa-miR-215
Source: miRBase by way of RNAcentral